Molecule: ribosomal RNA, 412 nt
Filed under: uncultured bacterium
Lineage: Bacteria
Description: bacterial SSU rRNA
Rfam family: Bacterial small subunit ribosomal RNA
Source: RNAcentral
GGGCCCGCACAAGCGGUGGAGCAUGUGGUUUAAUUCGAUGAUACGCGAGGAACCUUACCAGGGCUUAAAUGGGAGAUGACAGGGCAGAGACGCCCUUUUCUUCGGACAUCUUUCAAGGUGCUGCAUGGUUGUCGUCAGCUCGUGCCGUGAGGUGUCAGGUUAAGUCCUAUAACGAGCGCAACCCCUACCGUUAGUUGCCAGCGAUUCAAGUCGGGGACUCUAACGGGACUGCCGGUGCAAACCGUGAGGAAGGUGGGGACGACGUCAAAUCAUCACGGCCCUUACGUCCUGGGCUACACACGUGCUACAAUGGUCGGUACAGAGGGAAGCUACCCCGUAAGGGGAUGCGGAUCUAUAAAACCGAUCUCAGUCCGGAUCGAAGUCUGCAACUCGACUUCGUGAAGUCGGAAUC